Molecule: ribosomal RNA, 301 nt
Filed under: uncultured bacterium
Lineage: Bacteria
Description: partial 16S ribosomal RNA
Rfam family: Bacterial small subunit ribosomal RNA
Source: RNAcentral
CAGUCGCCGCGGGAAUACGUAGGUGGCAAGCGUUGUCCGGAAUUAUUGGGCGUAAAGGGCUCGCAGGCGGUUUCUUAAGUCUGAUGUGAAAGCCCCCGGCUCAACCGGGGAGGGUCGUUGGAAACUGGGAAACUUGAGUGCAGAAGAGGAGAGUGGAAUUCCACGUGUAGCGGUGAAAUGCGUAGAGAUGUGGAGGAACACCAGUGGCGAAGGCGACUCUCUGGUCUGUAACUGACGCUGAGGAGCGAAAGCGUGGGGAGCGAACAGGAUUAGAUACCCCAGUAGUCCCUGUCUCUUAUAC